Molecule: long non-coding RNA, 851 nt
Filed under: Capsicum annuum
Lineage: Eukaryota; Viridiplantae; Streptophyta; Magnoliopsida; Solanales; Solanaceae
Description: long non-coding RNA (CANN_LNC005458)
Source: RNAcentral
UUCGCUAUAUGAAUAACAUGUUUAGAAACAUCACUAGACAAUGAUAAGAAUUGGGACAAAUCAUCUGUCAUAUGAUUGGAAGCCCUUGAAUCUAGAUGCCAAGUAGAUUUAAUUGAAUUACUUGUACUUGAAGAGGAUGUCGAGAGUGCACUUGAGAUGGCUUCGGGAAGGGUAGCCGCAAUAGAACCUUGGAUUAGUCUUUUCAAGAUAGUGACCAGCAGGGAAAGAACCAGAUGAUGCAGUGACAUUUGUCUGGUAAGUUUGGUGAGCAGUUCCUGAACGAUUUAGGCGACAACGGUAAUCUGAAAUAUGAUGGCCAGUAAUUUUACAAUAAGCACAAUUUUUUUUCUUCUUAGGACAAUUGGUUGUGAUGUGACCAAAGUCUUGACAUUCAUAGCAUUGGACACUUCUCUUAGCAUUUUCUGUUGAAGCAACAGUUGUUGAUUUUCCUACAAGUAAUUCAACAGAAGGUAAUGGCGUAGACUCUAUAGCAACUUGAGUUCCAAGUCUUGUCUCUUCACGCAAGACAGCUACUAACACAACGUCAAGAGCAGGUGUGACUUCCUAGUUCAACAAAUUGCCACGAAUCGACUCAAAUUCAGGAUGGAGUUUCAUUAAGAAUUGCACCACCCGUGUCUUCUUUCGUUCUUCCAACACCUCCUUGAGCCUUGCCUUAGAAAUAUUUUGUCCAAGAAUUUGAUCUUGUUCCGACCAGAGCAACUGCAAGCUAGCAUAAAAGGAGCGAACAUUCUUGUCCCCCUGUGUGUAUUUUGCAAUAUUGCGUUCCAAUUGAAACUCUCGCGCAAGGUUUCUUUGUUGGUAGCUUGUACGGAGGUGGGUCCAUAUCUCAG